GAGAGUCUCUGACACAGCUGUGCUCUGCAGCCCAGACACCCUGCUUAUCUGUGAUUCGGCCAGACUGGUGUUGAACUCCUCCAAAGGCAUGCGCGGGGUUAGGACAGUGAAGUGUCUGACACUGACCAUGUACCAGUGCCUGAGAACACUGGUAUGGAGGGGGAGAACGCACCUCUUUACUGCAUUUGUCGGAAACCAGACAUCAACUGCUUCAUGAUCCUUUGCCAUGAUAAAUUGGUCAGUUUACAACCAGGAGCCGUACACCUUAACCUCAGAGGCCAGGACAUCCAGGGGCAGUGUGAACACACACUUCUUUAAAUGGGAUGCAGGACUGACUAUAGAGGGCCACCCCCUCGCCAGACAACCAAGUGCUGUCCCUGUGCACGGCCAGUGUGAGAAGGACUCUCACUAAAGUCAACCCACACAAAGCUGCUGGACCAGACAAUAUACCCGGACGUGUGCUCGGAGCCUGUGCUGACCAGCUGACUGAUGUCCUAGCGGGCAUCUUUAACAUCUCCCUGAGUCAAGCUGUUGUGCCAAGUGCUUUAAAACCACCACCAUCUUACCUGUACCAAAGACAGCUACAGCCUCGCAGUUCGAAGACAAUGGACGAUGCGAUCUCAUUGGCACUCCACCUAGCCCUAUCACAACUGGAUCAAUGCAACGUCCACCUAAGAAUGCUGUUCACUGAUUUCAUCUUAGCAUUCAACACCAUCAUUGCCCAGCAGCUGAUCGGCAAGCUGGACCUGCUCAGACUUAACACCUCCACCUGCAACAGGAUCCUGGUCUUUCUUACUGAUGGACCCCAGACAGUACAGGUUGGAAACAUAAGAUCCAACACCAUCACACUGAGCACAGCCCCCCCCCCAGGGAUGUGUGCUGAGCCCGCUACUCUUCACGCUGCUGACCCACGACUGCACCUCCAGCUCCAACAUGUGAUGAGUCAAUGUUGUGAUUGUUUGUGAUUUAUGGUCCCCCUCUCUCCUAGCCUCCACCACCCAACAAACAGUCUGUGCUUCCAAGUGUUACUUAGUGUCUUUGUCUGAAAACUUAAUAAAUUGUUAACUGUUGACUCAGUUUUCUCCUGUUUUUCACUUAGAAGGUCAGGUAAGUAAAUUGUCUUUUGGUUGGAUUUUUUUUUUCUUUUUUAGGGACGCUUAGGAGUGUUUAGGUAUUUGUUGUUUGUUAUUUUUGGCAUUGCUCACUGCCGAUGUAAAUAAAUGGCUGCU
Long non-coding RNA from Oreochromis aureus, 1229 nucleotides. The record is from Ensembl. NCBI's taxonomy places the organism in Eukaryota, Metazoa, Chordata, Actinopteri, Cichliformes, Cichlidae.